GACGAACGCUGGCGGCGUGCUUAACACAUGCAAGUCGAACGGAAAGGCCCUGCUUUUGUGGGGUGCUCGAGUGGCGAACGGGUGAGUAACACGUGAGUAACCUGCCCUUGACUUUGGGAUAACUUCAGGAAACGGGGGCUAAUACCGGAUAGGAGCUCCUGCUGCAUGGUGGGGGUUGGAAAGUUUCGGCGGUUGGGGAUGGACUCGCGGCUUAUCAGCUUGUUGGUGGGGUAGUGGCUUACCAAGGCUUUGACGGGUAGCCGGCCUGAGAGGGUGACCGGCCACAUUGGGACUGAGAUACGGCCCAGACUCCUACGGGAGGCAGCAGUGGGGAAUAUUGCACAAUGGGCGGAAGCCUGAUGCAGCAACGCCGCGUGCGGGAUGACGGCCUUCGGGUUGUAAACCGCUUUCGCCUGUGACGAAGCGUGAGUGACGGUAAUGGGUAAAGAAGCACCGGCUAACUACGUGCCAGCAGCCGCGGUGAUACGUAGGGUGCGAGCGUUGUCCGGAUUUAUUGGGCGUAAAGGGCUCGUAGGUGGUUGAUCGCGUCGGAAGUGUAAUCUUGGGGCUUAACCCUGAGCGUGCUUUCGAUACGGGUUGACUUGAGGAAGGUAGGGGAGAAUGGAAUUCCUGGUGGAGCGGUGGAAUGCGCAGAUAUCAGGAGGAACACCAGUGGCGAAGGCGGUUCUCUGGGCCUUUCCUGACGCUGAGGAGCGAAAGCGUGGGGAGCGAACAGGCUUAGAUACCCUGGUAGUCCACGCUGUAAACGGUGGGUACUAGGUGUGGGGUCCAUUCCACGGGUUCCGUGCCGUAGCUAACGCUUUAAGUACCCCGCCUGGGGAGUACGGCCGCAAGGCUAAAACUCAAAGGAAUUGACGGGGCCCCGCACAAGCGGCGGAGCAUGCGGAUUAAUUCGAUGCAACGCGUAGAACCUUACCUGGGUUUGACAUGGAUCGGGAGCGCUCAGAGAUGGGUGUGCCUCUUUUGGGGUCGGUUCACAGGUGGUGCAUGGCUGUCGUCAGCUCGUGUCGUGAGAUGUUGGGUUAAGUCCCGCAACGAGCGCAACCCUUGUUCACUGUUGCCAGCACGUUAUGGUGGGGACUCAGUGGAGACCGCCGGGGUCAACUCGGAGGAAGGUGGGGAUGACGUCAAGUCAUCAUGCCCCUUAUGUCCAGGGCUUCACGCAUGCUACAAUGGCUGGUACAGAGAGUGGCGAGCCUGUGAGGGUGAGCGAAUCUCGGAAAGCCGGUCUCAGUUCGGAUUGGGGUCUGCAACUCGACCUCAUGAAGUCGGAGUCGCUAGUAAUCGCAGAUCAGCAACGCUGCGGUGAAUACGUUCCCGGGGCU
This 1346-nucleotide ribosomal RNA is filed under the name uncultured bacterium. RNAcentral describes it as "bacterial SSU rRNA". It matches the Rfam family "Bacterial small subunit ribosomal RNA", at positions 28 to 1381 of the family's 1533-position model. The record is from RNAcentral.